GCGCUGCUGAGGAGUCCCACAAUAGAACGAGACGACCGUCCAGUGC
This 46-nucleotide non-coding RNA is filed under the name Schistosoma margrebowiei. Lineage: Eukaryota; Metazoa; Platyhelminthes; Trematoda; Strigeidida; Schistosomatidae. The record is from RNAcentral.